CGGGCGUUAAGUUGCAGGGUAUAGACCCGAAACCCGGUGAUCUAGCCAUGGGCAGGUUGAAGGUUGGGUAACACUAACUGGAGGACCGAACCGACUAAUGUUGAAAAAUUAGCGGAUGACCUGUGGCUGGGGGUGAAAGGCCAAUCAAACCGGGAGAUAGCUGGUUCUCCCCGAAAGCUAUUUAGGUAGCGCCUCGUGAAUUCAUCUCCGGGGGUAGAGCACUGUUUCGGCUAGGGGGCCAUCCCGGCUUACCAACCCGAUGCAAACUGCGAAUACCGGAGAAUGUUAUCACGGGAGACACACGGCGGGUGCUAACGUCCGUCGUGAAGAGGGAAACAACCCAGACCGCCAGCUAAGGUCCCAAAGUCAUGGUUAAGUGGGAAACGAUGUGGGAAGGCCCAGACAGCCAGGAUGUUGGCUUAGAAGCAGCCAUCAUUUAAAGAAAGCGUAAUAGCUCACUGGUCGAGUCGGCCUGCGCGGAAGAUGUAACGGGGCUAAACCAUGCACCGAAGCUGCGGCAGCGACACUGUGUGUUGUU
RNAcentral lists this ribosomal RNA (538 nucleotides) under Salmonella enterica subsp. enterica serovar Enteritidis. Its description in RNAcentral is "partial 23S ribosomal RNA". It matches the Rfam family "Bacterial large subunit ribosomal RNA", at positions 689 to 1225 of the family's 2925-position model. Lineage: Bacteria; Pseudomonadati; Pseudomonadota; Gammaproteobacteria; Enterobacterales; Enterobacteriaceae. The record is from RNAcentral.